RNAcentral lists this transfer RNA (69 nucleotides) under Marmota monax (woodchuck). RNAcentral describes it as "tRNA.Ala". Lineage: Eukaryota; Metazoa; Chordata; Mammalia; Rodentia; Sciuridae. The record is from RNAcentral.
GGAGUUGUGGCUCAGUGGUAGAGCACUCACCUAGCACAUGUGAGGCACAGGGUUCGAUACUUAGCACCA